GCUUCAAUAGUUUAAAUAAAAUAAUGGUCUUGUAAGCCGUAGCUGUACUCUUGUUCUUGAAGCU
This 64-nucleotide transfer RNA is filed under the name Palaemon longirostris. Its description in RNAcentral is "tRNA-Thr". The record is from RNAcentral. Lineage: Eukaryota; Metazoa; Arthropoda; Malacostraca; Decapoda; Palaemonidae.